CUCUAUACAACUUUACUGGAGAUCACAUCACUGUCAGAUUGUUGUUGUGUUGUUAUUUCAGACAUCUGAACUGUUGAAGAAAAUGUUAAUCGUGUUUGUUUUUCUCUCUUUCUGCUUCACUUCUCUGAAUGGUGUUGUUGGUGAUGAAGUGAAGUCAGUGUCAGUGACGGAGGGAGAUUCUGUUACUCUACACAGUAAUAUUACUGAAAUACUGAGCGCUCAUCUCAUACUAUGGAAAACUCAAGGGUCUCUCAUAGCCAGAAUCAAUAGAGAAGCCAACAAGACAUCAAUAUAUGAUGAAGAUUUUGAUGGGAGAUUCAGAGACAGACUGCAGGUGAAUAAUCAGACUGGAGAUCUCAUCAUCACAAACAUCACAACUCAACACACUGGACUUUAUCAAAUAAUCAUCACCAGCAAGCUGAUGUUGUCACACACAUUCAAUGUUACUGUCUAUGCUCGUCUGCCCGUUCCUGUCAUCACUACGCAAAACUCUUCAUCAUCAGAAACAUCAUCAUGUGUCUUUGUGUGUUCAGUGUUGAAUGUGAGAGAUGUGAGUCUGUCCUGGUACAAAGGAAACAGUGUAUUGUCCAGCAUCAGUGUGUCUGAUCUCAACAUCAGCAGCAUCUCUCUUCAUCUGAAGUGUCUGAAUGAUUCUUACAGCUGUGUGGUGAACAAUACCAUCAGUAAUCAGACUCAACAUCUCAACGUCACUGAUGUCUGUCAGAAGUGUUCAGCAAUUUCUAGAGGAUUUUUUCUUCAGCCAAGGAAAGCUACGAGAUUCCACACUUUCAUCUGAAUUUUUACUUCAGAAAGGUAAAUUUGCUAAUUUAAUUCCAAAGUUUACUCUUGUAAAGUCACCUGUUUGUUCAACUUUAAGAGUGCACUGAGAGAGAGGAGUAAUGAGCAGCACACUUCCUAGUAAACCCGUCUCUUGUGUGCAUUUUGCAAUUUUAUUACCACAAAUAUAUAUUUCUGAAUGAUUUCGAUAUAUUUUCUAGUCUGGCAACAUUUUAUAACGUCAUAGUUAAGAGAAGGAUAAUAAUUUAAUAAUAAAAGUAAUUGGCCGUGUCUCAAUGCGAAGGCUGCAGCCUCUGGAGGUCGCAUUUCUCGGCUGCAUACGUCAUCAAAACUGUCUUGUUUCAGAAUAUUAACAAUUAUAAAGUUGACUGUUAUUCUAAGUUAAUAGUAAAUUGUUUAAUAUGCUUAUGACUUGCGAAUCUAAUGGUCAGUUAACUUAAAUAACCCAGGGUUGAUGACGUAUGGACCCUGCAUAUGCAAGUGCGACGACCUCCGCAGGCUGAAACCAGUCUCUCGAGCUGAAAGAAAACGCAGCUGAGGAGAUAUGAGGUAAGACUUAUCCGGCAACAUUACAUUUAUAACGUCUUUAAUUUAAUUAUAGCGUUAGCAUUGUGAACCAAAAUUAAUUUAAAAGUGUGUAUUUUUGUAUUUAUUGGCGCGAUAUUCGUUUAAAUCUCUCGUUUUUUUCUCUUGCUCGCUUACGUUGCUGCCUGAGGAAACGCAUAAAACUGCAGACAAGAGCCAUCGACCAUCGUUCAGAAAACUUCCACCUAAACAGAUGCUGAGGCCCAGAUUUCCCUGCCAAGCACUCCAAGGCUCAUCAUGCUCGGAGAGUCCAUUCUGGGGGCAAAAAAUGGAUGCUUUCCAUCGAGGGCAGAGUUCUCCUCCAAUUGAGUGACCGUUGUGAUUUCACUUCUGCUCUAGCCAUGUAUGAUGCAGCCACUACAUUGGAAUUUAUCCAGAGGGUAGAGUCCAGCCCAGGAAGUCAACUAGUUCAGGUCCAGUUUUAAAAGAAUAAUAGUUCUGAAAAAAAAAACCGUCUUGGAGAAAAACAAUAUUCAGGUUUGAAAUCCUGCUGUAAAUGUAAAUCAUUUAAUUUUUAUGCAUUUGUAAUUUACCAGAAACAUUUUAAUAAAUAUUGAUUGUUUUGUGUGUUCAGAAAAGUGUUUUUGUAUGAAGUGUUGAAAUUAAAUGAAAUAUUCACAGAAAAAUGUUAACAUAUAAAAAAAAAUGUAUGUGUUCAGAAAGGUUUUGAGAUGUUCACAGAAAAAAUGUAACAUGUUGAAAAAAAUGUAUGCUAUGCUAUUUUUAAAUUAUGAAUUUUUGUAAUUUAAAGUGAGAAAAUAAAUGGCAUUUUUGUGACAAACAGUGUCUUCAUUUUACAGUACACAAAAUAAAUGCAGUAAUCCCUAUUACAGUAGUAGUUAUGAAAUACAGUACUGUGAUUAUUACUGUAAAAGAGUUCACAGUAAUUUUAAUUUUACUGCAGUUAAAUUUACAGUAAGAAUACUGUGAAAUGAAAUACAGCAACUUACUAGCUAAUUGCUGCCAGCAAGUUACUGUAUUUUUCACAGUAUUCUUUUUACAGUGUAGCAGUGAGUGUUUUACCUGCAGUCUUGUUGUGGAUGAAUAUUGACAGACAGAUUCAUGUUUUGUGGUUCAUAUCUCUGAAGAGAUAUGGUUUAGCACCUUUUAUUUCAUAUU
Non-coding RNA from Paramisgurnus dabryanus, 2502 nucleotides. Lineage: Eukaryota; Metazoa; Chordata; Actinopteri; Cypriniformes; Cobitidae. The record is from RefSeq and is a predicted model, not a curated record.